GACGAACGCUGGCGGCGUGCUUAACACAUGCAAGUCGAACGGAAAGGCCUGCUUUCCCUUGUGGAUUGCGGGUACUCGAGUGGCGAACGGGUGAGUAACACGUGAGUGAUCUGCCCCCAACUUGGGUAUAAGCCUGGGAAACUGGGUCUAAUUCCCGAUAGGACUGCAGGGUGGUGCCUGUGGUGGAAAACGAUUUUCUAGUGGUUGGGGAUGAGCUCGCGGCCUAUCAGCUUGUUGGUGGGGUAAUGGCCUACCAAGGCGGCGACGGGUAGCCGGCCUGGGAGGGUGGACGGCCACAUUGGGACUGAGAUACGGCCCAGACUCCUGCGGGAGGCAGCAGUGGGGAAUAUUGCACAGUGGGCGGAAGCCUGAUGCAGCGACGCCGCGUGGGGGAUGACGGCCUUCGAGUUGUAAACUCCUUUCGACCGCGAGGAAGCCACCUGGUUGGAAGGGUGGUGACGGUAGUGGUAGAAGAAGCACCGGCUAACUACGUG
This 494-nucleotide ribosomal RNA is filed under the name uncultured bacterium. RNAcentral's name for it is "partial 16S ribosomal RNA". It matches the Rfam family "Bacterial small subunit ribosomal RNA", at positions 28 to 507 of the family's 1533-position model. The record is from RNAcentral.